UACGUAGGGGGCUAGCGUUGUCCGGAUUUAUUGGGCGUAAAGAGCGUGUAGGCGGCCAGAUAGGUCUGCUGUGAAAACUCGAGGCUCAACCUCGAGCUGUCGGCGGAAACCAUCCGGCUAGAGUCCGGAAGAGGAGAGUGGAAUUCCCGGUGUAGCGGUGAAAUGCGCAGAUAUCGGGAAGAACAUCGGUGGCGAAGGCGGCCUGCUGGGCUGUUGCUGACGCUGAGGCGCGACAGCGUGGGGAGCAAACAGG
RNAcentral lists this ribosomal RNA (253 nucleotides) under uncultured bacterium. Its description in RNAcentral is "partial 16S ribosomal RNA". It matches the Rfam family "Bacterial small subunit ribosomal RNA", at positions 524 to 776 of the family's 1533-position model. The record is from RNAcentral.